This 301-nucleotide ribosomal RNA is filed under the name uncultured bacterium. RNAcentral describes it as "partial 16S ribosomal RNA". It matches the Rfam family "Bacterial small subunit ribosomal RNA", at positions 509 to 807 of the family's 1533-position model. The record is from RNAcentral.
CAGUCGCCACGGGAACACGGAGGGUGCAAGCGUUAAUCGGAAUUACUGGGCGUAAAGCGCACGCAGGCGGUCUGACAAGUCAGAUGUGAAAUCCCCGGGCUUAACCUGGGAACUGCAUUUGAAACUGUCAGGCUGGAGUCUUGUAGAGGGGGGUGGAAUUCCAGGUGUAGCGGUGAAAUGCGUAGAGAUCUGGAGGAAUACCGGUGGCGAAGGCGGCCCCCUGGACAAAGACUGACGCUCAGGUGCGAAAGCGUGGGGAGCAAACAGGAUUAGAUACCCGUGUAGUCCCUGUCUCUUAUAC